This 305-nucleotide ribosomal RNA is filed under the name uncultured bacterium. RNAcentral's name for it is "bacterial SSU rRNA". It matches the Rfam family "Bacterial small subunit ribosomal RNA", at positions 337 to 635 of the family's 1533-position model. The record is from RNAcentral.
UCCUACGGGGGGCAGCAGUAGGGAAUUUUCGUCAAUGGGCGCAAGCCUGAACGAGCAAUGCCGCGUGAACGAGGAAGGUCUUCGGAUCGUAAAGUUCUUUUGAAGGGGAAAAAGAGCGGAGAGAGGAAAUGGUCUCCGAUUGAUAUUACCCUUCGGGGAAGUCACGGCUAACUACGUGCCAGCAGCCGCGGUAAUACGUAGGUGGCGAGCGUUAUCCGGAAUGAUUGGGCGUAAAGGGUGCGUAGGCGGCCUGCUAAGUCUGGAGUGAAAGGUACCGGCUCAACCGGUACAGGCUCUGGAAACUG